UACGUAGGGUGCAAGCGUUAAUCGGAAUUACUGGGCGUAAAGCGUGCGCAGGCGGCUUGGUAAGUCAGAUGUGAAAUCCCCGGGCUUAACCUGGGAAUUGCAUUUGUGACUGCCCGGCUAGAGUUUGGCAGAGGGGUGUAGAAUUCCACGUGUAGCGGUGAAAUGCGUAGAUAUGUGGAGGAACACCGAUGGCGAAGGCAGCCCCCUGGGUCAAAACUGACGCUCAUGCACGAAAGCGUGGGGAGCAAACAGG
RNAcentral lists this ribosomal RNA (253 nucleotides) under uncultured bacterium. Its description in RNAcentral is "partial 16S ribosomal RNA". It matches the Rfam family "Bacterial small subunit ribosomal RNA", at positions 524 to 776 of the family's 1533-position model. The record is from RNAcentral.